AUGAUAUUAUAUGUUGCUCUGUGUUUGACAGAAUGCAGAGCACAGACAGACAGCGUGCAACAACCAGGAGGAGAUGUGACUGCAGCUGAAGGAGACUCAGUCACUCUGGGAUGUCACUUUAACAGUAGUUUAUCCAACUAUUAUCUGUUCUGGUACAAACAGGAAGGAAACAGCAGACCAAUGUGUAACAGGAUGUGUUUUUAUUAUGUUUUUAUUCUAUUUUUUUGCUGGGCCCUGUUUGUGUGCACUGACUUUCCUCUGACGAUCCAUAAUCUUCAUGUGACAGACUCUGCUGUGUACUACUGUGCUCUGCGGCCCACAGUGACAGGAAACAGUAAACUUCUGUACAAAAACCUGCAGAGCAGAGACUUUACAAUAUUAUAG
This is a non-coding RNA of Oryzias melastigma (Indian medaka), 384 nucleotides long. Lineage: Eukaryota; Metazoa; Chordata; Actinopteri; Beloniformes; Adrianichthyidae. The record is from the annotation of a RefSeq genome assembly.